Molecule: ribosomal RNA, 503 nt
Filed under: uncultured bacterium
Lineage: Bacteria
Description: bacterial SSU rRNA
Rfam family: Bacterial small subunit ribosomal RNA
Source: RNAcentral
GAUCAUGGCUCAGGACGAACGCUGGCGGCGUGCCUAACACAUGCAAGUCGAACGGAUGGAUGGAACGGAGCCUCGGGCAAGGAAGAUUCGUUAGUGGCGGACGGGUGAGUAACGCGUGAGCAACCUGUCCUUAAGAGGGGGAUAACAACGUGAAAACGUUGCUAAUACCACAUAAGACCACAGUGCCGCAUGGCACAGGGGUAAAAGGAGAAAUCCGCUUAAGGGUGGGCUCGCGUCCCAUUAGCUAGUUGGUAAGGUAAAAGCUUACCAAGGCGACGAUGGGUAGCCGGACUGAGAGGUUGAACGGCCACACUGGGACUGAGACACGGCCCAGACUCCUACGGGAGGCAGCAGUGGGGAAUAUUGGGCCAAUGGGGGAAACCCUGACCCAGCAACGCCGCGUGAGGGAAGAAGGCUUUCGGGUUGUAAACCUCUGUCCCAUGGGAAGAAAAAAUGACGGUACCAUGGGAGGAAGCCCCGGCUAACUACGUGCCAGCCGCCGC